Rhagoletis pomonella (apple maggot) is the source of this 511-nucleotide long non-coding RNA. RefSeq lists it as uncharacterized. The transcript has 4 exons. NCBI's taxonomy places the organism in Eukaryota, Metazoa, Arthropoda, Insecta, Diptera, Tephritidae. The record is from RefSeq and is a predicted model, not a curated record.
UUCGGGGAUUCUGAACCGGUCGCCUCCACAUCAAUGGGAGCAAGGAAGAAGGUGAAGCUUUCCUCCUAUUUAAACUUCGCUUCUCAUCAAGUUAUGAAUUCACAAUUGGACUAGAGUACACCGUUAACCGAGUCUUCUCCGCCGGUGUCGAAUCCCAAUAAAGAUGUAAUGGAGAUGUUGCAUCAUAUUUUUAAUAAACAGUGUGACCUAGAGGCCCGGAUGGACAAGAUAGAAGAGAAUAUGAUCCAAAAACCUGACAUGUUGACACACCAUAAAGCCGUUAGGAAGACUAAAGUUCUCAACAAGAAGGUGCAUCAAAUAAUUUGCAAAAUAAGUGGAGAGACUGGAGAGGAUCUCCAUAAUGAGCUCAACGACAUCCUGCCUAUGAUGUCCAUUGACGCAGUCUUUGACAUGGAGGAGAAGCUCCAUGAUACAACCUACCAGGACGCGGUUGUAAGUAUUCUUUUAUCUGUAUAUUAUAUCAAAUAAAACACCUCUUUGAGGUAGAAUU